AGGUCUUGACAAAAGAAGACCUCACUGAGGUCCUAGCAAAGGAAGACCUCAAUAAGGUCUUGACAAGAGAAGACCUCAAUGAGGUCUUGACAAAGGAAGACCUCAAUAAGGUCUUGACAAGAGAAGACCUCAAUGAGGUCUUGACAAAAGAAGACCUCACUGAGGUCUUAGCAAAGAAAGACCUCAAUAAGGUCUUGACAAAAGAAGACCUCACUGAGUUCCUAGCAAAAGAAGACCUCAAUAAGGCCUUGACAAGGAAGACCUCAAUAAGGUCUUGACAAGAGAAGACCUCAAUGAGGUCUUGACAAAAGAAGACCUCACUGAGGUCCUAGCAAAGGAAGACCUUAAUAAGGUCUUGACAAAAGAAGACCUCACUGAGGUCCUAGCAAAGGAAGACCUCAAUAAGGUCUUGACAAGGAAGACCUCAAUAAGGUCUUGACAAGAGAAGACCUCAAUAAGGUCCUAGCAAAGGAAGACCUCAAUGAGGUCUUGACAAGAGAAGACCUAAAUAAGGUCUUGACAAAAGAAGACCUCACUGAGGUCCUACCAAAGGAAGACCUCAAUAAGGUCUUGACAAAGAAGACCUCAAUAAGGUCUUGACAAAAGAAGACCUCAAUAAGGUCUUGACAAAAGAAGACCUCACUGAGUUCCUAGCAAAAGAAGACCUCACUGACGUCUUGACAAGGAAGACCUCAAUAAGAAGACCUCACUGAGGUCCUAGCAAGAGAAGACCUCAAUAAGGUCUUGACAAGGAAGACCUCAAUAAGGUCUUGACAAGAGAAGACCUCAAUAAGGUCUUGACAAGGAAGACCUCAAUAAGGUCUUGACAAGAGAAGACCUCAAUGAGGUCUUGACAAGGAAAGACCUCAAUAAGGUAUUGACAAGAGAAGACCUCAAUAAGGUCUUGACAAAAGAAGACCUCACUGAGGUCCUAACAAAGGAAGACCUCAAUAAGGUCUUGACAAGAGAAGACCUCAAUGAGGUCUUGACAAAGGAAGACCUCAAUAAGGUCUUGACAAGGAAGACCUCAAUGAGGUCUUGACAAGAGAAGACCUCAAUGAGGUCUUGACAAAGGAAGACCUCAAUAAGGUCUUGACAAAAGAAGACCUCACUGAGGUCCUAGCAAAGGAAGACCUCAAUAAGGUCUUGACAAGAGAAGACCUCAAUGAGGUCUUGACAAAGGAAGACCUCAAUAAGGUCUUGACAAGAGAAGACCUCAAUGAGGUCUUGACAAAAGAAGACCUCACUGAGGUCCUAGCAAAGGAACACCUCAAUAAGGUCUUGACAAAAGAAGACCUCACUGAGGUCCUAGCAAAGGAAGACCUCAAUAAGGUCUUGACAAGAGAAGACCUCAAUGAGGUCUUGAGAAAGGAAGACCUCAAUAAGGUCUUGACAAGAGAAGACCUCAAUGAGGUCUUGACAAAAGAAGACCUCACUGAGGUCCUAGCAAAGGAAGACCUCAAUAAGGUCUUGACAGAAGAAGACCUCACUGAGGUCCUAGCAAAGGAAGACCUCAAUAAGGUCUUGACAAAAGAAGACCUCACUGAGGUCCUAACAAAGGAAGACCUCAAUAAGGUCUUGACAAGAGAAGACCUCAAUAAGGUCUUGACAAGAGAAGACCUCAAUGAGGUCUUGACAAAAGAAGACCUCACUGAGGUCCUAGCAAAGGAAGACCUCAAUAAGGUCUUGACAGAAGAAGACCUCACUAAGGUCCUAGCAAAGGAAGACCUCAAUAAGGUCUUGACAAGAGAAGAUCUC
This 1758-nucleotide long non-coding RNA is filed under the name Manihot esculenta (cassava). RNAcentral's name for it is "long non-coding RNA (MESC_LNC012935)". Lineage: Eukaryota; Viridiplantae; Streptophyta; Magnoliopsida; Malpighiales; Euphorbiaceae. The record is from RNAcentral.